CUACCCUAGUGGAGGACAGCCUCAGAGGUUGGGUUUCUUACCUGCUCGGUAGAGGACGCGGUCUCCGGCUCGUCCCGCCUCCCGCUGAUGGCCGAGUCCGGAAAAGACUGACUGGAGAAUGGGCGUGCUCGCAUGAUCGCCUCACCAAGGACGGACUUCUCGUCCCGCCCCUUCUCCUGCUUGCUUAAAUCCGUUGGGCUGCCCUCCUGUCCGUCAGAAGCGGGUGUCACCAACAGCAAACGUGCGACCAACUCUUCGGCUAGUGAAUCUCUAAGCCGCGAAGAGUGCUUUGAAGUAGCUUUAGGUGGAAGAUGUCAGAAAGUAACUCGGCAGAGGGUAGCGACAGAAGCGAGGAGCAGGUGUCUGGUGCUAAAGUCAUCGCCCAGGCCCUAAAAACGAUGUGGAGUACAUGUUCGGUGUCGUAGGCAUCCCCGUGACCGAAAUCGCCCUUGCUGCCCAGGAACUGGGCAUCAAGUACAUUGGGAUGAGGAAUGAGCAAGCGGCUUGUUACGCUGCCUCUGCGGUUGGAUACCUAACGGGCAGGCCAGGAGUAUGCCUCGUUGUUUCUGGUCCCGGCCUCAUCCACGCCUUGGGCGGCAUGGCGAAUGCAAACAUGAACUGUUGGCCCUUGAUUGUGAUUGGUGGUUCUUCUGAAAGGAAUCAAGAAGCAAUGGGAGCCUUCCAGGAGUUUCCUCAG
Molecule: long non-coding RNA, 697 nt
Filed under: Rattus norvegicus (Norway rat)
Lineage: Eukaryota; Metazoa; Chordata; Mammalia; Rodentia; Muridae
Description: long non-coding RNA NONRATT011762
Source: RNAcentral